CGGAGACCAAGUUGGAUUAUCUAGUUCAUGGACUACUUUAUUGUUAAGGACGGGACUCUUUCCCUAUCUCGCCUUGUUAAAGGGUGUCGGGUGGGCUAUUUUCAUGAAAAAAAUAAAAAAAACGUCGUUAAAUGCAGCAUUAAAAGGAGGGGGAAUUGGGCGGGCCGACGGUGCCAUCUAUCAACCAAAAAUCGCAAGUUCUUGCUGAUUGACAACUGAACUCGAAAUUGUAGGGUGCUAUCUAUCAACCAAAAUCGCAUGAUCUUGCUGAUUGACAACUGAACUUGAAACAGGGGUCCUCACUGUGUUCGGAAAGUUCCCGAUAGGGUUUGGGUUGUUUCUUGUUACUUGCGAUCAUAUGCUUGAAAAACACAAUUUAACAAGAGUUCUUGUUACAUCGUGGUUCAGAAGACACCGUUUGAAAGAAACAUCCAGCUCAAAGCACAGUUCAAACUGUUCUUAUCCUUAGUGGGACAAUGGUACGCCCUCUAUCAGCAGCCUUACAAUGUGCUUCAUAAAUACAUCAACCCCUGAGAUCGUUGGAAAUUGUUUGUUCUCCACCUUUAUUAUUCACAUGCAAUGUCGCCGAACUUUGUUGUUGUGUGCGAUACGUUUGUCUAAGUGGCAGAUAGAACGGCUAAUUAUUUAAAUCUCCCUUCGGAUAAUCUACUUCUCUGACAAGUACUUUGAGGCCGGAAUUAAUUGAGUCCACUUCGCAUAUGGCUUCUUCGUGCCGUUUGUUAAUUCGAAUCAUUAGCGCACGAAGAACCUUUCAUGGAAGCUGAUUAACAGAAUUUCUGCUAGAUGGCGGUGACAGUGAAGGACAAACAGUUUGUCUGCUUGAGAAGAGAGAAAUAGUUAAUCUGCUUUAGAAGUCACGUUGACGUAAGCACGUAAGGGAUUAUUAUUUAAAAGAAAUGGGUUUUUAUAAUUUAAAUGGCAGUAAGAAAGCAAAAUAAAUGUUUCUGCUACCGAUAUGACAAGGUACAAGUCAAAUGUUUUAUUAUUCUGAUUUUCUGAAUCCUCAUUCUGCUGGUCUUGCCUUUAUUGGGGCCGCGGUAUAUCGUGUACGCGUACCGUGUACCGUGUACCGGUAUAUCGUGGAAAACCAUCGUGGAAUGGAUAGCCCCGCCCAGAAGGGGAGGAGCCUAUUAUCGUGGAAUGGGUCGAUUUCCACGGUAUAUCGUGGAAAGCGAUCGUGUACCACUAUACGUAUAUAUACACAGCAGACAACAGGCCCAAAGAAUCAAAAUUCAAACUUGACACGUGUGGUGAAUUGUUUAGUGACUUCAUAUACAAGUUUUAAGUACAAUGUCUUCCAGGCCAAAGAGAAAAUGUAAAGCCACUAAUCCGCCUCUGUCAACAGUGUGUACAAGUUCAAAGGCUAUGGAUCCGGUAAGCAAUGACCCUUUGUCAGCUUUCAUGGAAGAGGAUCAGUCUAUGUCCCCCCAGCCUCUCAUCAUAGAUGAGUCGCAGGCUGAAGUGGGUGAGACAAAUGUUGCUGUCCGAGCAGCCACUGAUGAAUAAAUAAUUGCUGCUGGCACGACUCAGGAAUGGAAAAUGACUGCGGAGAACCUUGCAGAGGAGAACUGUACCCUAAAGGGCAAGGUUAAGCUGCUGGAAGAAGCCUUAGUGGCGCAAAAGGCAGCCUCUGACGAGAAAGUUACUUCCUUGGAGUUGGAGCUAAAAAUUGUGACAUUAAAUUGUGUACAUGUGUAUAUAAAGAACUUAUAGAAUAACUGUCAGUUCUUAACUAUACAGUUAUUCUAUGUAUUAUAGUUAUAUAUAAUACCUAUAUAUAGUAUCCUUAUAUAAUACCUAUAAAGAGGUAUUGUUUAGAAGAACUAAACACAGGUACUAUAUAGUACCUACAUUUGUACAAUACUAUAUAAAGCACGGUAAAUAGUAUUAUAUAGUACUUGUAUAUAGUAUUUAUACAAUAUUAAUUUACAAAAAUUUAUUUAUUCAUUGAAUAGUACUGCUGUAUAGUACUACUGUAUAGCGCUACUAUAUAGAAAUACUAUAUAGAACUACUAUAUAGUAUACCACUACUG
RNAcentral lists this long non-coding RNA (2054 nucleotides) under Daphnia magna. Its description in RNAcentral is "uncharacterized LOC116917154, transcript variant X2". Lineage: Eukaryota; Metazoa; Arthropoda; Branchiopoda; Diplostraca; Daphniidae. The record is from RNAcentral.